UACAGAGGAGCCAAGCGUUGUCCGGAUUGACUGGGCGUAAAGCGCACGCAGGCGGGGGUGCGCGUGGGGUGUGAAAUCUGGCCGCUUAACGGCCAGGCGCCAUCCCAUACGGCACGCCUGGAGCCUUGCAGAGGUCGGUGGAAUUGCCGGUGUAGUGGUGAAAUGCGUAGAGAUCGGCAGGAACACCCAGGGGGAAACCAGUCGACUGGGCAGCACCUGACGCUGAGGUGCGAGAGCGUGGGGAGCGAACCGG
RNAcentral lists this ribosomal RNA (253 nucleotides) under uncultured bacterium. RNAcentral describes it as "partial 16S ribosomal RNA". It matches the Rfam family "Bacterial small subunit ribosomal RNA", at positions 524 to 776 of the family's 1533-position model. The record is from RNAcentral.